This 61-nucleotide transfer RNA is filed under the name Opisthoteuthis grimaldii. RNAcentral's name for it is "tRNA-Leu". The record is from RNAcentral. Lineage: Eukaryota; Metazoa; Mollusca; Cephalopoda; Octopoda; Opisthoteuthidae.
AAGUUGGCAGAAUAUAUGUGAAUGAAUUAGGAUCAUUUUAUAAGAAAUUUUUUUCUUACUU